AGGGAUAUAGGCCAGUGGUAGAGUUGUUGCCUGGCAUGCACAAGGCCUGGGUUCAAUUCCCAGUAUUGCAA
Molecule: transfer RNA, 71 nt
Filed under: Heterocephalus glaber (naked mole-rat)
Lineage: Eukaryota; Metazoa; Chordata; Mammalia; Rodentia; Bathyergidae
Rfam family: tRNA
About the family: Transfer RNA (tRNA) molecules are approximately 80 nucleotides in length. Their secondary structure includes four short double-helical elements and three loops (D, anti-codon, and T loops). Further hydrogen bonds mediate the characteristic L-shaped molecular structure. tRNAs have two regions of fundamental functional importance: the anti-codon, which is responsible for specific mRNA codon recognition, and the 3' end, to which the tRNAs corresponding amino acid is attached (by aminoacyl-tRNA synthetases). tRNAs cope with the degeneracy of the genetic code in two manners: having more than one tRNA (with a specific anti-codon) for a particular amino acid; and 'wobble' base-pairing, i.e. permitting non-standard base-pairing at the 3rd anti-codon position.
Source: Rfam by way of RNAcentral